RNAcentral lists this ribosomal RNA (458 nucleotides) under uncultured bacterium. RNAcentral describes it as "partial 16S ribosomal RNA". It matches the Rfam family "Bacterial small subunit ribosomal RNA", at positions 355 to 806 of the family's 1533-position model. The record is from RNAcentral.
UGGGGAAUUUUGGACAAUGGGCGAAAGCCUGAUCCAGCAAUGCCGCGUGUGUGAAGAAGGCCUUCGGGUUGUAAAGCACUUUUGUCCGGAAAGAAAUCCUUGGCUCUAAUACAGUCGGGGGAUGACGGUACCGGAAGAAUAAGCACCGGCUAACUACGUGCCAGCAGCCGCGGUAAUACGUAGGGUGCAAGCGUUAAUCGGAAUUACUGGGCGUAAAGCGUGCGCAGGCGGUUUGCUAAGACCGAUGUGAAAUCCCCGGGCUCAACCUGGGAACUGCAUUGGUGACCGGCAGGCUAGAGUAUGGCAGAGGGGGGUAGGAUUCCACGUGUAGCAGUGAAAUGCGUAGAGAUGUGGAGGAAUACCGAUGGCGAAGGCAGCCCCUGGGCCAAUACUGACGCUCAUGCACGAAAGCGUGGGGAGCAAACAGGAUUAGAUACCCUGGUAGUCCACGCCCUAAA